CCUACGGGAGGCAGCAGUGGGGGAUAUUGCACAAUGGGGGAAACCCUGAUGCAGCGACGCCGCGUGGGUGAAGAAGCGCCUCGGCGCGUAAAGCCCUGUCAGCAGGGAAGAAAACGACGGUACCUGAAGAAGAAGCCCCGGCUAACUACGUGCCAGCAGCCGCGGUAAUACGUAGGGGGCAAGCGUUAUCCGGAUUUACUGGGUGUAAAGGGGGCGCAGACGGCGAUGCAAGCCAGGAGUGAAAGCCCGGGGCCCAACCUCGGGACUGCUCUUGGAACUGCGUGGCGAGAGUGCAGGAGGGGCAGGCGGAAUUCCUGGUGUAGCGGUGAAAUGCGUAGAUAUCAGGAGGAACACCGGGGGCGAAGGCGGCCUGCUGGACUGCAACUGACGUUGAGGCCCGAAAGCGUGGGGAGCAAACAGGAUUAGAUACCCGUGUAGUC
RNAcentral lists this ribosomal RNA (440 nucleotides) under uncultured bacterium. RNAcentral's name for it is "partial 16S ribosomal RNA". It matches the Rfam family "Bacterial small subunit ribosomal RNA", at positions 338 to 795 of the family's 1533-position model. The record is from RNAcentral.